This 253-nucleotide ribosomal RNA is filed under the name uncultured bacterium. RNAcentral describes it as "partial 16S ribosomal RNA". It matches the Rfam family "Bacterial small subunit ribosomal RNA", at positions 524 to 776 of the family's 1533-position model. The record is from RNAcentral.
GACAGAGGGUGCAAACGUUGUUCGGAAUUACUGGGCGUAAAGCGUGUGUAGGCGGCUUUGCAAGUCGGCUGUGAAAGCCCAGGGCUCAACCCUGGAAGUGCACUCGAUACUGCAGAGCUUGAGUCUCGGAGAGGUUGGUGGAAUUCUCGGUGUAGAGGUGAAAUUCGUAGAUAUCGAGAGGAACACCGGUGGCGAAGGCGGCCAACUGGACGAAGACUGACGCUGAGACACGAAAGCGUGGGGAGCAAACAGG